GGUUAAGCGAACAAGCGUACACGGUGGAUGCCCUGGCAGUCAGAGGCGAUGAAGGACGUGCUAAUCUGCGAAAAGCGCCGGUAAGGUGAUAUGAACCGUUAUAACCGGCGAUGUCCGAAUGGGGAAACCCGGUGCACUUCGGUGCAUCAUCGUUAGCUGAAUACAUAGGCUAACGAGGCGAACCGGGGGAACUGAAACAUCUAAGUACCCCGAGGAAAAGAAAUCAACCGAGAUUCCCCCAGUAGCGGCGAGCGAACGGGGAACAGCCCAGAGCCUGAAUCAGCUUGUGUGUCAGUGGAACGGUCUGGAAAGGCCGGCGAUACAGGGUGACAGCCCCGUACACGAAGGCACACAGGCUGUGAGCUCGAUGAGUAGGGCGGGACACGUGAUAUCCUGUCUGAAGAUGGGGGGACCAUCCUCCAAGGCUAAAUACUCCUGACUGACCGAUAGUGAACCAGUACCGUGAGGGAAAGGCGAAAAGAACCCCGGCGAGGGGAGUGAAACAGAACCUGAAACCGUGUACGUACAAGCAGUGGGAGCCUUCGUAAGAGGGUGACUGCGUACCUUUUGUAUAAUGGGUCAGCGACUUAUAUUCUGUAGCAAGGUUAACCGUAUAGGGGAGCCGAAGGGAAACCGAGUCUUAACCGGGCGUUAAGUUGCAGGGUAUAGACCCGAAACCCGGUGAUCUAGCCAUGGGCAGGUUGAAGGUUGGGUAACACUAACUGGAGGACCGAACCGACUAAUGUUGAAAAAUUAGCGGAUGACCUGUGGCUGGGGGUGAAAGGCCAAUCAAACCGGGAGAUAGCUGGUUCUCCCCGAAAGCUAUUUAGGUAGCGCCUCGUGAACUCAUCUCCGGGGGUAGAGCACUGUUUCGGCUAGGGGGCCAUCCCGGCUUACCAACCCGAUGCAAACUGCGAAUACCGGAGAAUGUUAUCACGGGAGACACACGGCGGGUGCUAACGUCCGUCGUGAAGAGGGAAACAACCCAGACCGCCAGCUAAGGUCCCAAAGUCAUGGUUAAGUGGGAAACGAUGUGGGAAGGCCCAGACAGCCAGGAUGUUGGCUUAGAAGCAGCCAUCAUUUAAAGAAAGCGUAAUAGCUCACUGGUCGAGUCGGCCUGCGCGGAAGAUGUAACGGGGCUAAACCAUGCACCGAAGCUGCGGCAGCGACACUAUGUGUUGUUGGGUAGGGGAGCGUUCUGUAAGCCUGCGAAGGUGUGCUGUGAGGCAUGCUGGAGGUAUCAGAAGUGCGAAUGCUGACAUAAGUAACGAUAAAGCGGGUGAAAAGCCCGCUCGCCGGAAGACCAAGGGUUCCUGUCCAACGUUAAUCGGGGCAGGGUGAGUCGACCCCUAAGGCGAGGCCGAAAGGCGUAGUCGAUGGGAAACAGGUUAAUAUUCCUGUACUUGGUGUUACUGCGAAGGGGGGACGGAGAAGGCUAUGUCGGCCGGGCGACGGUUGUCCCGGUUUAAGCGUGUAGGCUGACUUUCCAGGCAAAUCCGGAAGGUUAAGGCUGAGGCGUGAUGACGAGGCACCACGGUGCUGAAGUGACAAAUGCCAUGCUUCCAGGAAAAGCCUCUAAGCAUCAGGUAACAUCAAAUCGUACCCCAAACCGACACAGGUGGUCAGGUAGAGAAUACCAAGGCGCUUGAGAGAACUCGGGUGAAGGAACUAGGCAAAAUGGUGCCGUAACUUCGGGAGAAGGCACGCUGACAUGUAGGUGAAGCCCCUGCGGGUGGAGCUGAAGUCAGUCGAAGAUACCAGCUGGCUGCAACUGUUUAUUAAAAACACAGCACUGUGCAAACACGAAAGUGGACGUAUACGGUGUGACGCCUGCCCGGUGCCGGAAGGUUAAUUGAUGGGGUUAUCGCAAGAGAAGCUCCUGAUCGAAGCCCCGGUAAACGGCGGCCGUAACUAUAACGGUCCUAAGGUAGCGAAAUUCCUUGUCGGGUAAGUUCCGACCUGCACGAAUGGCGUAAUGAUGGCCAGGCUGUCUCCACCCGAGACUCAGUGAAAUUGAACUCGCUGUGAAGAUGCAGUGUACCCGCGGCAAGACGGAAAGACCCCGUGAACCUUUACUACAGCUUGACACUGAACAUUGAGCCUUGAUGUGUAGGAUAGGUGGGAGGCUUUGAAGCGUGGACGCCAGUCUGCGUGGAGCCAACCUUGAAAUACCACCCUUUAAUGUUUGAUGUUCUAACCUGGCGCCGUGAUCCGGCGUGGGGACAGUGUCUGGUGGGUAGUUUGACUGGGGCGGUCUCCUCCCAAAGUGUAACGGAGGAGCACGAAGGUCAGCUAAUCCUGGUCGGACAUCAGGAGGUUAGUGCAAUGGCAUAAGCUGGCUUGACUGCGAGAGUGACGGCUCGAGCAGGUGCGAAAGCAGGUCAUAGUGAUCCGGUGGUUCUGUAUGGAAGGGCCAUCGCUCAACGGAUAAAAGGUACUCCGGGGAUAACAGGCUGAUACCGCCCAAGAGUUCAUAUCGACGGCGGUGUUUGGCACCUCGAUGUCGGCUCAUCACAUCCUGGGGCUGAAGUAGGUCCCAAGGGUAUGGCUGUUCGCCAUUUAAAGUGGUACGCGAGCUGGGUUUAGAACGUCGUGAGACAGUUCGGUCCCUAUCUGCCGUGGGCGCUGGAGAAUUGAGGGGGGCUGCUCCCAGUACGAGAGGACCGGAGUGGACGCAUCACUGGUGUUCGGGUUGUCAUGCCAAUGGCACUGCCCGGUAGCUAAAUGCGGAAGAGAUAAGUGCUGAAAGCAUCUAAGCACGAAACUUGCCCCGAGAUGAGUUCUCCCUGAGACUAUAAGUCUCCUGAAGGAACGUUGAAGACGACGACGUUGAUAGGCCGGGUGUGUAAGCGCAGCGAUGCGUUGAGCUAACCGGUACUAAUGAACCGUGAGGCUUAACCUU
This 2902-nucleotide ribosomal RNA is filed under the name Cronobacter sakazakii. Its description in RNAcentral is "23S ribosomal RNA". It matches the Rfam family "Bacterial large subunit ribosomal RNA". The record is from RNAcentral. Lineage: Bacteria; Pseudomonadati; Pseudomonadota; Gammaproteobacteria; Enterobacterales; Enterobacteriaceae.